This is a long non-coding RNA of Setaria italica (foxtail millet), 899 nucleotides long. RefSeq lists it as uncharacterized. The transcript is spliced from 2 exons. The record is from RefSeq and is a predicted model, not a curated record. NCBI's taxonomy places the organism in Eukaryota, Viridiplantae, Streptophyta, Magnoliopsida, Poales, Poaceae.
CUUCUUCUUCUUUUUCCGCGUUUGGUUCCGCCCCCAACCGCACAUUCUCCCCGACGGCUAACGUGCGCCGCUGCCACCGCCGGUCCUGCCCUUCGGCCGGCCGGCCGGCCGCUCUAUCUCCCAACGGCAUCGCCCGAGGCCGGUCGUCGCCAGGACUCGGCUUCUUUGGCCGGUGCCCGCCCUGUCCCAGCCCGCCGCCCGGUGCCAGGCCACCGCCAGCCCCUACACGCCCUCCGGCCUCCAGCCCAGCGACCUCGCACGCUUCUCCGAGGAGGUGGAGUGCUAGCUGCUUCUCUCCACUAAGCACUGUACCCGUACUUCUUUGCUUGUAGCCCAACGAGCAGGCCAACAGGCACACACGCUCAACUCCCUGCUCCUCUGUUUCUUUUUCCCCUCCCUGCUACCUACAGCGCUCAAGCAAGCUGCACUAAAUCCACGGAUGGGCCGCUGCCGGCGAACUGCUCGGUCAUGGUGCCGUGGCCGGCGAUCUGUAGUGCUAUGAGGGGACUCAAGAGGUGCGUGUGGAGGCUCAUAUGGCUGGGCUUCUAGCUGUACGUCGGUGCCGGAUCUUGUGGAUGCAGCUCCCGUGAGCUAGCUGUGCAGUGCUCUUCGAGGAUCAUCACCGAGGAGGUGGAGUGCUCCCUAUGCUGUCAGACGAGCUCGUCUGCUACUGCUAGACCAUCAAGGAGUUCCUGAUGUUCAACUGCAUUAUCAGAUAAUCGAGCGUUGUAAUUUGUGACAAAAAGUGGUGUUAAAUCUUUGGAUUCGACGGAUGAUGUAAGGAUAGAUGAUGUUGCAGUUGCAUCUCUUUGAUUGGAAUUUCAGAGUGUAAUCCAUUAUUUGUAGUGUAAUCCUUAUGUUUAUGUUUAAUCGAAGGACAAGAACCGUCUCUCGUAGUA